Long non-coding RNA from Micropterus salmoides (largemouth bass), 499 nucleotides. RefSeq lists it as uncharacterized. The record is from RefSeq and is a predicted model, not a curated record. Lineage: Eukaryota; Metazoa; Chordata; Actinopteri; Centrarchiformes; Centrarchidae. The transcript is spliced from 2 exons.
CCUUGUUUUCUCAUUCUGCAGCAGGCUGCUGUCAAGACCAGGUCAGACCUCCCUGCGGCUGGCUCCCCGGUUUCUCCUUUAGUUUGGUUGUCUUUGGUUUUGGAUUCUUACUUUGUGGUGUCUUAGGUUUGGGUGACGAGGGGAGAAACUGAUAAGAGGGGGCUGGGUGCUUGGCUCUCUCUCUGGCCCACCUUCCAGCCAUGGCAGCAGCACAACUCUGAGACUGCGACCAAUUUGUAUUUCCUUGAUUAUCGUUCUUUUCUUAUAUUUCUGAUGGGACUGGUAGUUUAGUUUUCGCGGCUUUAUUUCUGUUUGUUUAGUUAGGGAUUGGUUUAGGGUAGAGGGGAAGCCUCCAGAUCCUACGGCCCUUUUGUGGGCUGGUCUGGAGGGCUUCCCUUUCUUUUGUUUGUUUUGGCCAGCCCAUCAGACUUGUUGUUUUUGUUUAAGUUAAAUUUUGAACUUAUUUCAUGUUUAUUUCAAUAAACUUAUGUUUGCAUUA